GACGAACGCUGGCGGCGUGCCUAAUACAUGCAAGUAGAACGCUGAAGAGAGGAGCUUGCUCUUCUUGGAUGAGUUGCGAACGGGUGAGUAACGCGUAGGUAACCUGCCUUGUAGCGGGGGAUAACUAUUGGAAACGAUAGCUAAUACCGCAUAACAAUGGAUGACACAUGUCAUUUAUUUGAAAGGGGCAAUUGCUCCACUACAAGAUGGACCUGCGUUGUAUUAGCUAGUAGGUGAGGUAAUGGCUCACCUAGGCGACGAUACAUAGCCGACCUGAGAGGGUGAUCGGCCACACUGGGACUGGGACACGGCCCAGACUCCUACGGGAGGCAGCAGUAGGGAAUCUUUGGCAAUGGGGGCAACCCUGACCGGGCAAAGCCGCGUGAGUGAAGAAGGGUUUCGGAUCGUAAAGCUCUGUUGUAAGUCAAGAACGGGUGUGGGAGUGGAAAGUUCACACUAUGACGGUAGCUUAACAGAAAGGGACGGCUAACUACGUG
RNAcentral lists this ribosomal RNA (497 nucleotides) under uncultured bacterium. RNAcentral describes it as "partial 16S ribosomal RNA". It matches the Rfam family "Bacterial small subunit ribosomal RNA", at positions 28 to 507 of the family's 1533-position model. The record is from RNAcentral.